Molecule: non-coding RNA, 483 nt
Organism: Cucurbita pepo subsp. pepo (vegetable marrow)
Lineage: Eukaryota; Viridiplantae; Streptophyta; Magnoliopsida; Cucurbitales; Cucurbitaceae
Source: RefSeq, a predicted model, not a curated record
AAUUUCAAUCUCCCAUGGCUUCCUAUAUAAACACAUACAUACAGCUUCAAGCUUCAUACCAACCUACUGAUAACUCUUCAAAUUCCAGCAAUGGCUACUACACAUAAAUUCUAUCCGACCUCCAUUUUCGUCACGGUUCUCGUCUUUGCCAUGGUUCUCUCUCCCAUGACGAUUUCCACUGCCAAUGCUACUCGUGUGCUUCUGCAACAAGUUAAUAAGCCACCGAUAUGCCCGGCCUGCGUGUGCUGUGAGCCGGCACCGGCGGGAUCCUGUUGCCGGUGCUGCGCCACUCCGAUUCAGACUUCGUCUCAGAAUGGGUCGCCAUGAAAACUUGCAGCUGAGCUUGGAAGAAAAUCAAACGAUUUGAAGAUGCUUAGUGAAUAAGGAGACUCUCCCCAUGCAAACAAAAAUUUAGAGUUUGAUAUUGUAAGUGAAGAAUAAAUGACAUAAAGGUUUAAUAUAUUAUUAAAAAUUAUUUUAUAA